GAUGAACGCUGGCGGCGUGCCUAAUACAUGCAAGUCGAGCGAACAGACGAGGAGCUUGCUCCUCUGACGUUAGCGGCGGACGGGUGAGUAACACGUGGAUAACCUACCUAUAAGACUGGGAUAACUUCGGGAAACCGGAGCUAAUACCGGAUAAUAUAUUGAACCGCAUGGUUCAAUAGUGAAAGACGGUUUUGCUGUCACUUAUAGAUGGAUCCGCGCCGCAUUAGCUAGUUGGUAAGGUAACGGCUUACCAAGGCAACGAUGCGUAGCCGACCUGAGAGGGGUGUCCGGCCACACGGAAACUAGACAAGGUCCAGACUCCUACGGGAGGCAGCAGUAGGGAAUCUUCCGCAAUGGGCGAAAGCCUGACGGAGCAACGCCGCGUGAGUGAUGAAGGUCUUCGGAUCGUAAAACUCUGUUAUUAGGGAAGAACAAAUGUGUAAGUAACUAUGCACGUCUUGACGGUACCUAAUCAGAAAGCCACGGCUAACUACGUG
This 497-nucleotide ribosomal RNA is filed under the name uncultured bacterium. RNAcentral's name for it is "partial 16S ribosomal RNA". It matches the Rfam family "Bacterial small subunit ribosomal RNA", at positions 28 to 507 of the family's 1533-position model. The record is from RNAcentral.